UACGGAGGAUGCGAGCGUUAUCCGGAUUUAUUGGGUUUAAAGGGUGCGUAGGCGGGAUGCCAAGUCAGCGGUAAAAAUGCGGUGCUCAACGCCGUCGAGCCGUUGAAACUGGCGUUCUUGAGUGGGCGAGAAGUAUGCGGAAUGCGUGGUGUAGCGGUGAAAUGCAUAGAUAUCACGCAGAACUCCGAUUGCGAAGGCAGCAUACCGGCGCCCUCCUGACGCUGAGGCACGAAAGCGUGGGUAUCGAACAGG
RNAcentral lists this ribosomal RNA (252 nucleotides) under uncultured bacterium. RNAcentral's name for it is "partial 16S ribosomal RNA". It matches the Rfam family "Bacterial small subunit ribosomal RNA", at positions 524 to 776 of the family's 1533-position model. The record is from RNAcentral.